CCUACGGGAGGCAGCAGUGAGGAAUAUUGGUCAAUGGACGAGAGUCUGAACCAGCCAAGUAGCGUGAAGGAUGACGGCCCUGUGGAUUGUAAACUUCUUUUAUAAAGGAAUAAAACGAGGCACGUGUGCCUUGUUGCAUGUACUUUAUGAAUAAGGAUCGGCUAACUCCGUGCCAGCAGCCGCGGUAAUACGGAGGAUCCGAGCGUUAUCCGGAUUUAUUGGGUUUAAAGGGAGCGUAGAUGGGUUGUUAAGUCAGUUGUGAAAGUUUGCGGCUCAACCGUAAAAUUGCAAUUGAUACUGGCAGUCUUGAGUACAGUUGAGGUAGGCGGAAUUCGUGGUGUAGCGGUGAAAUGCUUAGAUAUCACGAAGAACCCCGAUUGCGAAGGCAGCUUACUAAACUGUGACUGACAUUGAUGCUCGAAAGUGUGGGUAUCAAACAGGAUUAGAUACCCUAGUAGUC
Molecule: ribosomal RNA, 460 nt
Filed under: uncultured bacterium
Lineage: Bacteria
Description: partial 16S ribosomal RNA
Rfam family: Bacterial small subunit ribosomal RNA
Source: RNAcentral